This 200-nucleotide ribosomal RNA is filed under the name uncultured bacterium. RNAcentral's name for it is "partial 16S ribosomal RNA". It matches the Rfam family "Bacterial small subunit ribosomal RNA", at positions 29 to 230 of the family's 1533-position model. The record is from RNAcentral.
AACGAACGCUGGUGGCAGGCCUAACACAUGCAAGUCGAGCGGUAGAGAGGUGCUUGCGCCUCUUGAGAGCGGCGGACGGGUGAGUAAUGCCUAGGAAUCUGCCUGGUAGUGGGGGAUAACGCUCGGAAACGGACGCUAAUACCGCAUACGUCCUACGGGAGAAAGCAGGGGACCUUCGGGCCUUGCGCUAUCAGAUGAGC